CUGGGGCCGGCCGCGCUCUCGGGCUCGCAGGCGCUGGGUCUCGGCUCCGGCUCCGGCUCCGCGCCGCUGGCUCUGCGUCGCUCGCACUCCAGCCGGGGGCACCCUCAUCCCAGGCUGACUGACGUCCCUGGCACCCAAAUGUCGCGGGGAGUGCGGGGCCAGGGUGCGCCCUCCCUCCUCCUCCAGCCAGUGAAACCCGGGACAGCGGCACCCAGCCCCAGGGCGGAGGCCGUCUCUGCUGCGCGCAGCGACGCACCCAGGCCCAAGGGCCGGGAGAUCCGCGGGGAACCCGGAGACCUGCGUCCCAGAGGGGCCGAGGGUUGCACCGCGCCCGCUCCCACGGGCCUCUUCCGAGAGGACGCUUCUCCCUCGUGUCCGCGGGAAGUCCUCGGAUCCUGGAUGAGAAAGAGCCUUCUCUCACCGGCUCCCAGACCCCGCGCUUUUUAAUACCUGUCCUUGCAGAGCGACUGGUCAUUUUAGGCCCGAGUCGAGCCUCUCUUGAUUAAUAAAUGAAUAUGGCUCGUUUUGUUUUAAGUGUGCGUGGAUGUAUACGUUGUAUUGUUUUGCAAUUCAACACCGCAAAGAUCUGGGAAAAGUUCUUCACCUGCAUUAAGGAAAGCAAUUACAAACUCGUAGUCCAAACCAGAAGAGCCAGAAAAUCAAGUAGAAGGCUCAGGGUAGGAUGAAACCAAAGGGAACAGGAAUCGUUUCUUCCUUUUAAUAAGAUGUCAGGUUAUUGGACUCACUUGAUGAGAGGCAGCAAAAUGAAUCGAACACAGCCUGGGUUCAAAGCCUGACCCCGCCAUCUAAUGAUGUGACCUUCUGCAAAUUCUUAGUCGCUCUAUGCCUCAAUUCUUUAAUCUACAAAAUGGGAAUAAGGACGCAGCUACCGAACAGCUUCUACUCUCCUGCUGUGAGGAUUAAAUGAGUCAGCAGUUCCGAACUGCUUCAAUCGGCCUGGCUCAAGGGAAGCUCCACGGAAGAGUCAGCUAGGAUUAUUAUAAAUUGGUUAUAACAAAGAAGCGAACACAUUCCGUUGCUAGCGCACAGAUUAAGACUCAAUAAUGCCACAUACCAACUGCCACUGCUCUGACAAAUAUUUCUGUCAUUUCAAAAAAAUAUCAUGGCUGCAGCUUUUCAUGACAAAAGAAAACCAUUGGUUUCUGGGCCUCUUAAACAGCUGCACUGAUGGACAUAUUCAUAAUAAUGCUGUACUGUUUGACUUUCCAGAAGAUGUAACUUCUUUAAAGGAUUCACCAAAUUCAACAGCCCCUGAGCCACUCACUCACUGCCAUGUUCACAAGUCCACCUCAAAAGCAAAUAAAAUGAGAAUUUGCUGUCAGAGAGGAUCAGCUGUCUUUUAAAAAUAUUUCAGAGCUCAUUAGAAAUGUAUGACGAGGGGAAAAAAAAUACCAUGGAAGAACAGAGGAGAA
Molecule: long non-coding RNA, 1433 nt
Filed under: Homo sapiens (human)
Lineage: Eukaryota; Metazoa; Chordata; Mammalia; Primates; Hominidae
Description: HSALNT0159779
Source: RNAcentral